CAAAGAAAGAGCAUGCGCACACUGUUAAAACAGGGGUGUAUACACCAUGUACUAGGGUGUAAAUAAGACCUGGUUUGGAGAGUAAACAAAAGGGGGUGUAAAUAUCAUAGCAUAAGGGUGUAAUCUACAAUAGUAUGGGUGUAAACUACAAUAGCAUGGGUGUAAACUACAAUAGCAUGGGGUGUAAACUACAAUAGCAUAAAGAGUGCAUCAUUAUAUACUACCAGUUUGCCUUUACUACACUGUACUUUAUUGAUUGCAGUACAGUCUAAUUAAAGUUCAAGGAAGAAAUUCAUCUGACACAGAGAAAAAUAAUAAAUCAAGUAUAAAACACAUCACAUUGAGCUAAAAAGUAUAAGUUUUGGAACGAUACAUAGCGUACUAAUACUUUCUGGUAAUAUUCUAACAUAAUUACGGUUAGGUACAAAAGAAAAGAGUGAGUGCUGAGUUCCUACAAUGUAUAAACAGUGGAAACUACUGUGAUGGUUGUAGUCUACUCGUACUCUACUGUGUCAAGUGAUUGUGAAAGUACACUUUUUGUGAGUUGAGGACAAAUAUAAUAAUGUCCAUCAGCUUUCCAAACAUAAAGAACUCUCAUGCAUGUCCAACAAGACUAGAGCUAGCUAGCUAGCUGGGCUUCAUCAACUUCAGUCACAUAGAAUUUACAGGCCCCACCCAUAAUUAUUAAUUGAGGUGUGCGUUUUUUAGGAGACACAUAAGGUGUGAUUCACACCUCUGUGCACGUGUAUUAAUACUUGACUGGUAGCUAGCUAGCUAGCUAUUCAUCCCUGGGUUCUCAAGUAUCCAGUAACAUCCCUUUUAUCGACAACAGCUUUAGUAAACAAGUUGCUAACCAACUUCCUAGAGAAUGGGACAUUGAUAUUGAUGGGAUCGGGAAAGAUAAGAGACCGAGUCAAGCUCAAGAAACUUCAAUAGAGCUCAUCACCAGACAAAAACUGACAUAUUUUGAAAGAAGGAAGACAGUACAGCCCUCGGUCUCAGAUCUUAAAUAAAUGUUCCUUCUUUGAAACUUCACGAAGUGGCCUAUUCAUGAACCGAGUUCAAGAGAAUCGUCAGUAUUGAAAAAAGAUGUGAGUGUCCAAUCGAUUAUUAAUGGAGAACUGGGACUCAUGGAUUAUUGCAUAUUCUAAGUUGGAGAUGGCGACAAGGUAAAAAAUUGAUAGCGGGGGUUCUUCAGAUGAUAUCAAGAAUUCAGACGAUCUUUGUGCCAGACCAGUACAGACUGUAUUUUCUGUGUGAUGUUGAACAAGAGCCAACGUGCGAGCUAAGUGUAUUCUUUGGACUCAACGAACAAAAUUGAACCCUUUGGCACAUGUAUAAUUAUAAUCUCAUUUUAGUGCUGCUAUGAUGUUUUGUUUCUUUGCUGCUAUACUUUUGUGGAUGUGUUUUAAGCUGUGA
Long non-coding RNA from Halichondria panicea, 1419 nucleotides. RefSeq lists it as uncharacterized. The transcript has 4 exons. NCBI's taxonomy places the organism in Eukaryota, Metazoa, Porifera, Demospongiae, Suberitida, Halichondriidae. The record is from RefSeq and is a predicted model, not a curated record.